This 461-nucleotide ribosomal RNA is filed under the name uncultured Allobrachymonas sp. Its description in RNAcentral is "bacterial SSU rRNA". It matches the Rfam family "Bacterial small subunit ribosomal RNA", at positions 923 to 1382 of the family's 1533-position model. The record is from RNAcentral. Lineage: Bacteria; Pseudomonadati; Pseudomonadota; Betaproteobacteria; Burkholderiales; Comamonadaceae.
GCACAAGCAGCGGAGCGUGUGGUUUAAUUCGAUGCAACGCGAAGAACCUUUACCAGGGCUUGACAUGCUUGAAGUAGAAACUCGAAAGAGAGACGACCUGUAUCCAAUCAGGAGCUUGCACAGGUGCUGCAUGGCUGUCGUCAGCUCGUGUCGUGAGAUGUUGGGUUAAGUCCCGCAACGAGCGCAACCCUUGCCAUUAGUUGCUACGAAAGGGCACUCUAAUGGGACUGCCGGUGACAAACCGGAGGAAGGUGGGGAUGACGUCAAGUCCUCAUGGCCCUUAUAGGUGGGGCUACACACGUCAUACAAUGGCCGGUACAGAGGGUAGCCAACCCGCGAGGGGGAGCCAAUCCCACAAAGCCGGUCGUAGUCCGGAUCGCAGUCUGCAACUCGACUGCGUGAAGUCGGAAUCGCUAGUAAUCGUGGAUCAGCAUGUCACGGUGAAUACGUUCCCGGGUCUU